UUUAAUAUCAGGAAGUUCUGCGCCGAAGCUCGUAACCCCCUCAGACCCGAAAUGACCGCAUUUAAUAUUAGUUUCGUCCUAAACGUCAUUCGAAUCGGCGACUUCUAAGCUUUGCCUAUACUCUUUACCAAUUGAGCUAAUGACAUUUAAUGAGGGUUAUGAUAUUGCCACACAAUGGUUCGAAAAAUGAGGACGUGACAAUAUUAGAUUGA
RNAcentral lists this small RNA (212 nucleotides) under Arabidopsis thaliana (thale cress). Its description in RNAcentral is "ATSL078150". The record is from RNAcentral. Lineage: Eukaryota; Viridiplantae; Streptophyta; Magnoliopsida; Brassicales; Brassicaceae.